AACGCGAAGAACCUUACCUGGCCUUGACAUGCAGAGAACUUUCCAGAGAUGGAUGGGUGCCUUCGGGAACUCUGACACAGGUGCUGCAUGGCCGUCGUCAGCUCGUGUCGUGAGAUGUUGGGUUAAGUCCCGUAACGAGCGCAACCCCUAUCCCUAGUUGCUAGCAGUUCGGCUGAGAACUCUAGGGAGACUGCCGGUGACAAACCGGAGGAAGGUGGGGAUGACGUCAGGUCAUCAUGGCCCUUACGGCCAGGGCUACACACGUGCUACAAUGGUGCGCACAGAGGGCUGCAAACCCGCGAGGGGGAGCCAAUCUCACAAAACGCAUCGUAGUCCGGAUCGCAGUCUGCAACUCGACUGCGUGAAGUCGGAAUCGCUAGUAAUCGUGAAUCAGAAUGUCACGGUGAAUACGUUCCCGGGUCUUGUACACACCG
RNAcentral lists this ribosomal RNA (434 nucleotides) under Marinobacter sp. B. RNAcentral's name for it is "bacterial SSU rRNA". It matches the Rfam family "Bacterial small subunit ribosomal RNA", at positions 958 to 1392 of the family's 1533-position model. Lineage: Bacteria; Pseudomonadati; Pseudomonadota; Gammaproteobacteria; Pseudomonadales; Marinobacteraceae. The record is from RNAcentral.